This 406-nucleotide long non-coding RNA is filed under the name Pan troglodytes (chimpanzee). RNAcentral describes it as "long non-coding RNA NONPTRT003076". Lineage: Eukaryota; Metazoa; Chordata; Mammalia; Primates; Hominidae. The record is from RNAcentral.
CUCCUGAGGACUCACUUAUCCUUCCUCCCCCAUCCUCUGCUAGGAGCUGCUGGUUGACUGUUACAAACCCACAGAGGCCUUCAUUUCUGGCCUGCUGGACAAGAUCCGGGGCAUGCAGAAGCUGAGCACACCCCAGAAGAAGUGAGGGUCCCCGACCCAGGAGAACGGUGGCUCCCACAGGACAAUCGCUGCCCCCCAACCUCGUAGCAACAGCAAUACCGGGGAACCCUGCGGCCAGGCCUGGUGCCAUGAGCAGGGCUCCUCGUGCCCCUGGCCCAGGGGUCUCUUCCCCUGCCCCCUCAGUUUUCCACUUUUGGGGUUUUUUAUUGUUAUUAAACUGAUGGGACUUUUUGUGUUUUUAUAUUGACUCUGCGGCGCGGGCCCUUUAAUAAAGCUAGGAUACGCC